CAGUAGCCACGGUAAUACGUAGGUCCCGAGCGUUGUCCGGAUUUAUUGGGCGUAAAGCGAGCGCAGGCGGUUAGAUAAGUCUGAAGUUAAAGGCUGUGGCUUAACCAUAGUACGCUUUGGAAACUGUUUAACUUGAGUGCAAGAGGGGAGAGUGGAAUUCCAUGUGUAGCGGUGAAAUGCGUAGAUAUAUGGAGGAACACCGGUGGCGAAAGCGGCUCUCUGGCUUGUAACUGACGCUGAGGCUCGAAAGCGUGGGGAGCAAACAGGACUAGAGACCCCAGUAGUCCCUGUCUCUUAUACA
This 301-nucleotide ribosomal RNA is filed under the name uncultured bacterium. RNAcentral describes it as "partial 16S ribosomal RNA". It matches the Rfam family "Bacterial small subunit ribosomal RNA", at positions 509 to 808 of the family's 1533-position model. The record is from RNAcentral.